Long non-coding RNA from Corvus hawaiiensis (hawaiian crow), 1312 nucleotides. RefSeq lists it as uncharacterized. The record is from RefSeq and is a predicted model, not a curated record. Lineage: Eukaryota; Metazoa; Chordata; Aves; Passeriformes; Corvidae. The transcript has 6 exons.
AGCUCCCACGGCGACGCGCCGGGAAUCGGUGACGGGCGGGGGCCGUGAGGGGACGGGCGAUGUACAGGGACAGCUGAGUGGGGACAGGGGUCCUAAUUACUCUGGAGGAUGGAGCUCCCAAGACCAUUCCCACCUCUGACCAACAACACCUAAACUGUGCUUUGGAGCCAGCUCCAUCUGGGAUGGAUCCAGUUCUUCAGGUUAACAGAUUUUAAUUCUCUGUGAAGGAAACUCCAUGUAUUUUAAGGAAGUGCUAAGCAUCAUGAUGGUUUUUAGAACAACCAGAUCAUUGUGAUGAAACUGGCUUUUAACAAAGGGGUGCUUGAUUUCACUUCAUGAUUCCUGAAAGUAAUAAGGUUGCCUUUUCCUCCUCCCUUCACCCCAGGAAUGCACCCACUCCAGAUCAAGAGCUUCUAUUUUGGAAAAAUGGGCAAUUUUGUUGUCAGGACUAUUCAUAUAGAAAUGUCAUUUCAGUGCUUGGUAAGACAUUUCCAUUUCCUGAUCUGCAGUUCUACUUCAUUCCAGGAAAGUACAGUGAGUGCCUGGAGCUGUCAUCCACCACAGGGCAGUGAUGGAAUCCCAUAGCCAGGAACACUUGUCUUCAGGGGCUUUUUUGGUAUCCCUCUGCCAUGAACAGUAUUUCUUUCCUGCCAAAAGCUUCCACUUCUAAUGAAAAUACAUCCUGCCUUUCAAGACUAGUAUUUUCAUGGCUGAUUCUCAACUGAUUGGGAGUUGCUAAAUCCAGUAGCCUCACAGAGGUGAGGCUGCUGCAGCUCCACACCCCUGGGUCCAGCAGACACAUCCACAAAUGUGUAAAAUGUCUGUGCACUGAUGGUUCCAGUGGCCAGCUCAGACAGAAACACUCAGCACUCAGAAAAACAGCACCAGUGGCCUCAUCCUGCUCCCUGCUCUGGCAGAUCAGGGUGAAGGUGUGUGAGUGCAAAAUAUUUUAAAAAAUCAUCAUAGAAUCAUAGAAUGGUUUGGGUUGGAAGGGACCUUAAAGAUCACCCAGUUCCAAUCCCCUGCCAUGGGCAGAGAGACCUUCCACUAGACCAGGUUGCUCAAAGGCCUGUCCAGCUUGGCCUUACAAAUAUUAUGGUCAUUUCCAAAUUUUAAAAUCAAAAUAUACACUUCCAGGUACUACCACGCAGGAAAUCCACGGGAGUGGCUUUCAGUUAUGGAAGAGACGCUGGAACAGCAAUUAAGAUUGCAACUCUUGCACAGUUAACCAUUAUGGGCUAAAUUAAAAGUUGGAUGAAUCAUUUUCCAGCCAUAUAAAUCACUGAAGUUGUUCUAUCCAUCAUGAAGGUAA